AUUAUUUACCUGACAACACUUGCUUUUAAUGGUUUCAAAACCUCGAUAAUUUUUGUAAAUUAUAAAGAAACAGAGCAUUUUAUAACGAGCAUAUGUCAACUAACCCAUUCCCAGCAAUUACAAUAAAUCCUCAGCUGUUUGUACAGCAAUUUGAUCAACCCUCAAGCAUUGGAAAAAUAAUAACUGAUGAUCGUAGCAGAAAAAUAAUAUCUAGCAUGCCCUUGUUUGCCGCAGCAACUAUUAUCCAAAAAAGCAACUGCCCGGAAAAGAGCGAACGCGAUUGUUUUAAAUGCAAAUUAAUUAGGCGUCUCUGGAUGGUUACAGUGAACAUGUACGACAUCAUGGGUUUAUUGGACAUAUGUCCAUGCAGCACGCUACACUAUAUCAGACCGUACAUAAGUUACGAGGUGUUGCCCAAAUGCUAAGUCUAAUUCUAACUAACUUCUAUAUUUUUCGCAAUGUAUGUUAUCGGAAAUUGUAAAAAAUAGUAAAGAAUUUACCAAAGCAA
Molecule: long non-coding RNA, 508 nt
Organism: Agrilus planipennis (emerald ash borer)
Lineage: Eukaryota; Metazoa; Arthropoda; Insecta; Coleoptera; Buprestidae
Exons: 2
Source: RefSeq, a predicted model, not a curated record